Molecule: non-coding RNA, 106 nt
Organism: Gossypium hirsutum (cotton)
Lineage: Eukaryota; Viridiplantae; Streptophyta; Magnoliopsida; Malvales; Malvaceae
Source: Rfam
AUUCCAUGAUGAGGGCACUUUUGUAAUAAUUCUUUGUACCUUUUCCAUCCUCAUACAAGGAAUCAUCAUCCAUUUUUUGGAAGGCAGUGAUCUUAUUUCUCAACGU